Heterocephalus glaber (naked mole-rat) is the source of this 2231-nucleotide long non-coding RNA. RefSeq lists it as uncharacterized. Lineage: Eukaryota; Metazoa; Chordata; Mammalia; Rodentia; Bathyergidae. The record is from RefSeq and is a predicted model, not a curated record.
CUCGCCAGGCGCUCGCAUCCUCCUUGGAGGGGAACCACCUUCAGCCAGAGCAACGUCAGCCCCAACCUCUGCUCUCCUUAACCCUUGCGGGGUCCGGGAGGCCGGCGCAGGUCCCCCUGCGCUGGGCAGAGACCGGACCGGGCGGAGAGUGCGGUGCGGCCGGCCAGAGGGCCAGGGAUGGGAGCAGAGGUGAUCACAGUUUGGAAACAGUGUCCUUGGGGUGAUGUCCAUGACAGUGAACUCAGCAGCAGAAAUCACCCCUGCGCACAGGGCGCUGGGCUCCGAGGGAGUUCGAGUUUUGGAAAGCUGGAGACAGUAUGCAUCUGCUGAAGGGCAAAAUUGAGAGGCAUGUUCUAAUUGGAUCCUGCCCAGGAUCUAGAAAAUCUCCUGGAGGGUCCUAACACUGAAUAUCUGGUUCUAUCUUCCACAUUGUUCACUAAGUCUCAGCUGUCACUGCACACCACAUUCAAGAGGGUGGAGAGAAGUCGUUUGACCCUGGAAGUCAUGAAGAGCAUAUGGAUCCUCAGCAAAAAGGUAUCACAUGUGAGACAGAAAAUGAGCCACCAGAGGCACUGAAUCUUCUGGCACCUUGACCUUGGAUUUCCCAGCCUUCAGGACUGAAACAGAGCAGGAGAGAUGAUUUAGUAUCCAUGUGUUACACUCAGCCACAACUGAGAACAGAACUAGUCCAACAUGCCACAGGUCUGGGCAAAGACCAAUGGGGCUGCUCCAGCUAUGAACAAGGUCCUGGAGAACAACAGCACCCCAUGAGAUCUCAGUCUCUUGGUUCCUGGUGUCUCCUGGAGGUGUCUCCCAGAUGUGCAUCAACCAAUUAAUCACCGUAAACACAUGGAAGCCAUUAAUAUUUUAUCUUCUCCCACCCAACUCCCCUACAUUUCCUGUACCUAAAUCCUCCAAGAGCUCAGAAUUGAUGCUCCCAGAUGGCAUACCAGUGUCAACACAAAGGGCACCAGUGUCCAGAGUGAGGGGCUACCUACUCCUAUUUUGCAGCUGCUGGUCCUCAGAUGUCAACAGGGAGCUGUGGUCCUAAGAGGAAAUCAUCCCUUGCCCCAACAUGGGGUCAUCCACACCAGCAAGAAGCCCCACUUGUACCCUCAAGGAUCACAGAAUCUAGGCUACAAAUAGUUCUCCUGCCCCCUCAGAGCCUCCUUUGUACAGGACUCAAAUGCAAUGCAAGGCUGAGUUCAGGUUCCCCUCCACAUUCCCACCUCCUUGUUCCUUCCAGCUAAGGGUGGGGGCACUUCCCUAAAAACCACCUCCUGAUGGUCCCCACCACUUCUACAGAUGUGAGUUCCAUUUUAGGCUCAGCUAAGACAUUCCUAAGCCCCAUAACAUAUAUAUAGUACAUCCAUACAUACAUAAAUACGAUCUUAUAAUUUACAUCAUCACAGCAAAUAAAUCAAAAUAAUAUGUGCAUAUGUGAGUAUUUAUAUCUAUAUAUGGAUAUAUAUACACAUUGCAUGAAAGAUAAGAGGACUUAAAUAAGAGUUUUAGCCCAAGUAGCUCAUUCUUAUGCCAAACCACAAUACCAGGUAAAUAUAAGAAUUCUCUUCUCCAACUCUUCCCCACAAUGUUUCCUAGAAGCAGGUCUUAAUCACCAAAGGAAACCUGUGACAGUUUUGCUGAUGUCUUUCAAAACUCUGUGCUUGCUGUCCAAACAAUCAAAUUGAUGAAGAAAUAAAAUAAUAUACUGUAAAGAAAGUGCUUUCAGUGUAGGGUGGCUGGAAGCAAAAAUAUAGGCUGGAUGAUAAGUCUGGAAAAUCCACAUGAUUCUGUUUUUAGAACAAAUGAAAAGAGUCUUGUAUAAGGACAAGGCACAGUUACAGCUAUUUUCUUCCCUCUAGGAAUAAGGAAUAGAAAGUGGUUAUUAAGAGUCUGAACCCAAAAAUCUGAGGAGACCUGGAAUCUGAGCUUGCCUUUUUGAUUGGUGCUUCUUGCUGGCAACUUGGAAAGACCAAGUCCUGUAAGAGAAAUAUACCUUCAAUUGGUGACCACUUAAUUACCAAUACUGCACAUGCAACCAGAAGCCAACUCAGUUUAGGGGAUCAAGAAGGCCUCCUGGAGGAAGUGUUACCAGAGCUACACCUCAUGGGGUGAAGAGGAAUUGAUGAGACAAUGGAUGAUACUUUAGCUAUCAAUGGAAGGAAUGCUUGAAAGGAACAUGGUAUAUGCAAGGAACUGAAAACAGAUAGAAGUAAACUGGAGCUAUG